RNAcentral lists this long non-coding RNA (4449 nucleotides) under Setaria italica (foxtail millet). RNAcentral's name for it is "long non-coding RNA (SITA_LNC003787)". The record is from RNAcentral. Lineage: Eukaryota; Viridiplantae; Streptophyta; Magnoliopsida; Poales; Poaceae.
UCGUGGCUUGCACGGCGCAGCUUUUGUCAUACAGAGUGUCUCUGCUCCAGCUGGGUCAAUCAAAGGUUGCUUUGUUUAUCUUGAAACAGUACUGUAUUUGCUAUAGCUGCAUUGAUCCCAGAAGAAUAUAUGGGAGAUAGCAGUUGAAUUCUUUGUUGUUGAUGUUUAUUGUUAUUAUUGUUUGUGAAUUCCUGUCUGUACAAAUGGAGAUGAAUUAUGGGAUUUUGUUUGUGUGGUACGCAUGUAUUAGGGUCAACUAAUGACCAUCUAGCAGAUGCAGGCCCACUAAGAAGACAAAGGAACGUGGUGCUUGAGCUGUAACUUUCUCACCAAAAAAAAUUCAGAUAAUUGCUGUAUUCAGCUCACCGAUGAUGUCUGAAGGAUAGUUUAUUUGCUUGGAUUUUUUUUUCAGAUUUGGAUUGGAUCAUGGAGAAAAACAAUCUGGAAAAUGGUAUCAGGUACUCCUUUUUUUUUCUUUGCGAAGUAUCAGGUACUCCUUCAAUCACACAUGGCCAACAUCCUAGACAAUCAUUGUGUGCAUAAAGCUGCUUUUACUUGGAAGGAAAGCUAAGCAAGCUUAUAGGAAAGGAGACCAAAUCCGAUUAAGGUAGGCCGCUAAAGAAAUGCAGUUCUAAUUUGCAAAAAAUAAAUAAAAUGCAGUUCUUUGAAGCUAUGAAAUGUUCAUUAAACACAAGGCAUUUUUUCUUUAACAAUUUCCAGCUUUAUUUUACCCCGAUAAUUGCAUUGUUGAGUGCAUCAUCUACAAUUUGUCUUGACAUCAUUAGAGAAAACUUAGUUUGUUUUCAACAUCUUGUGUGAUAUUUUCGUUGCGUAUGUCCAACCGAUCUGUUUCGCUAUCAUGAUCCAAGCCGACCUAAUCCACGAUCAUGACUGAAAUCAAAUCAACCUUUGCUCCAUGAGCCAUGUGUAACAUCACUGCUUUAUUAAUCACAUAGCUCGUAGUAUAUGAGUAUUUCCUUCAAAAGGGUCAUAUCUGAGAAGAUAGUUCACCUAAUCAGGAAAAAAGUUUCAAUUGCUUCACAUUUCCAGAUGCAUCCACAUUAGUUUCGAAAAAAAAAAGGGCCGGACGCAUCCAUGUUCCAAUGACAUUUAGAGUCACGUCCUAAUAAGUAUCACGUUACGAAAAACCUGGGCUGGGCCUUUGUUUUCCCAUUAGAUACAUUGUAAACGUAGUUUACUUCAGAAUUAUUAUUUAUGUGCCAUAUGCUGAAGAUUUAUCUAAGGAUUGGUUUCACUUCAAAUCUUUUAUGAUCUUAAUUUAAUUUGUACUGCAAGAAAAACAUCUAACGUGGAAGUUGAACUGCACUACACAAAUGUACACAAAGUGCUACUUUUUUUUUUCUGAAAAACAUCGACAAGGACCAUAUCAACUGGAUGCAAGAUUCAUGAAAUGUUGCAAGCUGCAACCCUUUUUUCCCUUGAAAGACACUCUAAAUGAGUGCAGCUUACCUAGUUCCUUUGAAUGGCUGGCCUCGGAGUGACCUCCGAGUUCUUCUUUCGCUUUCUCAAUAAGGCCUGAGCCCUUGUGCAAGAUCGUUUCGAUGCCUGACUUCACAUCUCCUUGAAGCUUCUCCGUCGCCGUCUCGGCAUCUGUCCAUCAACCCCAAAGGUCGUCAGGGAGCAGGAAAUAAUAUUAAAAGUACAUCGUGGUUACCUGUUUAUUAGCUACUAGCUAUUAGGAUUUAGGACAGCUAAUGUGGAAGUAAUAUGCAAGGCACGAUCUGGUAUCACAUUUUGAAUUCAGCUUGAAAGCUUCUGGGAAUUAGACGUUUCUUUGAAUUUCCAUAAUGUAGUAUAUCUAUCAAUUAUCAGAACCAGCAGUUCUAUUAUGUUGACUUUGACCGAAAAACGUGCAACAUAAAAAUGUAGCCUUUCAGGUCCAUAUCAAGGCAAUUUCAAAACCAUCUAUUUAGAAAAUUAAAAGUUUAUCUGCAGCUAUCAAUCAUCUACAGUAUUUGCCGUGUUAUUAUCUAACAAUGACAACUUGAACUCCAAACCAUUGGCUGCUUUUGUUGUGAUCAGAAGUGGGCAUGCUACCAGUAUCAUCCUAUCUUGUCACGUACUUAGAGAGAGGCUGAAGAACGCAAGGAGGAAUAGCUACCUCUGAAACUAAAUGGCAUUUCUGCACACAAAACUUAGGCAAAACAUGAAGGCAAAUAACUAACCGUUCUUGGCUGACUGGAGGCUUCCUGCAAGGGCAUCAAGCCCUCCCUUGGCACGAUCAAAAAGGUCAUUCUUCCCGCGGCUAUCUUUUCCCUUCUUCUGCGAUCCUUCAGAGUCCUUGACUUUCUUUGAGUUCUUCCGCUGAAAGAACAUCUUGUUCUGUUCCUCCUCUUACACUGCGAUAAUCAUAUACAUGCAAGGAAGAAGCUUAAGCAAUCUACCAUAGAAGAUUCAAGGAACCUAAAUGCAAACUUCAGCUAAUUUUGAGGAAGCAAUCUGCGAUGUCAGCAUCUUCUGCCUCAGAAGUUAUUCUGAAAAGCACGCAUGAUCCAGACAUCCAGUAAUUGUUUGCUUCAGCAAUCAGCACAGAAUAACACAGAAGUUAUUCUGGGACGGCAAUCAAACACGGCUGUUUCUAUGUAAUAACUUCGGAGUUCUGAACUUGUAAUUCAUGGUGUUUGGCACAAAGGGACAUGGUGAAUCAUGCAUGGCUUUCUAGAGCAUGAUACUGAUUGUCCAACCCUCGGGAUAUCAACCAGCUCAUUGCUACAGAAAUCCAAGAGAAAAAAUCCAAACAAAAUGUGACGAAGCUUGUUGGCAGUGAAGAGAAAAGACCAUACUUAGGCAAAAUAGCAGUAGGUGAGGAGAUCUAACGCAGUGAACAAGAACAACCUAUGCCAACUAACUUCUGAUUAACAAGAACAGCCUCCUUUAAGAAACUAUUGACAGCACCCAACAUCACCAUUCGAGUAAAAGAAAAGCAUAAGCGUGUAAAGCAUCGGAUAUGCACGCGUCUUACCGAUCUUCCUUGAACUGAUCAGGAAAUGGAGAGUUGUUGCAAAGGACAGAAGAAGAGAAGAAGAAGAGGACAGGCGUAUUCAGGAUCUCAGGGGGGACGUGUGUAACGUCGUGGUCCUCCUUUUAUGGAACCAUCUAUUAGUCGCUGCCCCAAUUAAAAUUAAGCAUGUCAAGUCGGCCUCCGGUAAGCCCAGCCCGCAACCAUUAGCCUCUGAUAAUCUUAUUCUUAUUCGAUUUUGCUUGUGUUUUUAACUAGGCAUUUGAUUUCUUUAUUGACCGAACAACAUGGAAACAAAACUAUCGGUUUCUGUCCUUCUGAUACGGCAGUAGACAACUAGACAUAUCUUCAUUCUUGGGUUUGACCUUAACCAGCGCAAUCAUGCUUCCCGGAGAGGAGGUUGUUGCAGAAAAGAAAGGUGAACACAUGGCAGGCAUGUAUACUACUAGAAUUGAGUAACUAGUUUUAUACUGUUAUACUGGAUCUGAAGUGUUACACAAGGAUAUUCUUUGGCCUAUCUUGUACGCUUUCUUUUGCUUCUUGCAUCAGCACACAAUUAACUAGCUUGGUCGUGACAGAUAUCCUGACACUACCAUGCAUGUUUCUGGAAGUUUGAUCUACCUUAAUUUUUCAGUCUCCUUACAUCACACAACUAAAUGAACUAAUGAUGCUCAGACAUGCCAGGGUAUUUAAAAUCAGCACUUUAUCUUUGAGAUGAGAGAUUUUCUUGAGAUCUAGGAGUAUGAGAGAAGAAGAUAAACUGGAUCAACUGAAUCCUUAAUGAAAUUUGUUUAUCUUUUUACAAGCUUGGUUUUAUGUUCAAAGCUUAAUUAUACGAUGGAUAAACUAUUUUAUAUUUUAACAUUUCUUUUAUGUCAUAUACAAUGCUGAAUGCCAUCAUCAAUUCAGUUGCAAUGAAGCGUUAAGGGGUGAGACUUUUCGCUUGGAUCAUCGAUCAAUUAGCUGGUGCUAGCUGCCUAGUGACGACGUUGCUUGACCACGUGGAUCGAUGGUUACAUGAACACGACCAUGAAUAGGGGUUAGCUGAUCCAUCUCCCUUCACGGCAUGACAGCAUCACUUAAAGCCCAACCGGAGGCGUCUUCACCGGCUCUCUCAGGCAUCGAAUUCAAUCAGCAGUUGCAGGCCAUCGAGGGCAUGUGGUUAUCUCUGCCCCCCUGAUGACCUGACCUCAAGGCACAUGAUCGCUCCGCUUUCCGGCCGUGGAUUUGCCGUGGCAGCUGACGCCAACGACAGGAAGGAGCAAAGCCUGCGUGGGAAGAAAAACCCAUGGGAUUUCAAUUUUGCACCUGAAGUGACCUCGAACUCAGCAGACAUGAUUAGCUAGGACGCUGCUGCACAUGAGGCUAGUUGAAGAUGAUGACGCAUGGUAAUUCAUUCCGUGAAGAGAUGACGAUCGAGCAUGUGUAGCCCUUGCACAUGAAGUUGAUAGUCACGACCGUUUGGCGAG